AUUGAACGCUGGCGGCAGGCUUAACGCAUGCAAGUCGAGCGGGGUGAUGGUGCUUGCACUAUCACUUAGCGGCGGACGGGUGAGUAAUGCUUAGGAAUCUGCCUAUUAGUGGGGGACAACAUCUCGAAAGGGAUGCUAAUACCGCAUACGUCCUACGGGAGAAAGCAGGGGAUCACUUGUGACCUUGCGCUAAUAGAUGAGCCUAAGUCGGAUUAGCUAGUUGGUGGGGUAAAGGCCUGCCAAGGCGACGAUCUGUAGCGGGUCUGAGAGGAUGAUCCGCCACACUGGGACUGAGACACGGCCCAGACUCCUACGGGAGGCAGCAGUGGGGAAUAUUGGACAAUGGGGGGAACCCUGAUCCAGCCAUGCCGCGUGUGUGAAGAAGGCCUUAUGGUUGUAAAGCACUUUAAGCGAGGAGGAGGCUCUUUUGGUUAAUACCCAAGAUGAGUGGACGUUACUCGCAGAAUAAGCACCGGCUAACUCUGUGCCAGCCGCCGCAGUAA
Molecule: ribosomal RNA, 503 nt
Filed under: uncultured bacterium
Lineage: Bacteria
Description: partial 16S ribosomal RNA
Rfam family: Bacterial small subunit ribosomal RNA
Source: RNAcentral